CCGGCGACCGGCGCACGGGUGAGUAACACGUAUGCAACCUGCCCGUCUCAGGGGGAUAAUCGUCGGAAACGGCGUCUAAUACCCCGUAUGAAGCUGGACGGCAUCGUCUAGUUUUGAAAGAAUAUCGGAGACGGAUGGGCAUGCGGCGCAUUAGCUAGUUGGCGGGGUAACGGCCCACCAAGGCGACGAUGCGUAGGGGUUCUGAGAGGAAGGUCCCCCACACUGGUACUGAGACACGGACCAGACUCCUACGGAAGGCAGCAG
RNAcentral lists this ribosomal RNA (264 nucleotides) under uncultured bacterium. RNAcentral's name for it is "partial 16S ribosomal RNA". It matches the Rfam family "Bacterial small subunit ribosomal RNA", at positions 88 to 354 of the family's 1533-position model. The record is from RNAcentral.